GCCUGGCUAAUUUUUUAUUUUAUUAUUUACUUAUUUUUAUUUUUUGUAGAGAUGAGGUCUUGCUAUGUUGCCUAGGCUGGUCUCAAACUCCUGGACUCAAGUGAUCCUCCUGCCUUGGCCUCCCAAAGUGCUGGGAUUACAGGCUUGAGCCUCAACUCAGCAAUUUCUUUCCUAGGCAACUAUCCAAGAGAAAUGAAAACAUAUGUCCAAAGAGUUUACGUGAAUGUUCAGAAUAGCAUUAUUUAUAGCAAAAAAGCAAGACACACACACAUGCACCCACUGAUAGAUCCAACAAAGGACUAUAUAUUGUCUUAUUUCACUUAAAUGAAACCUUAGAAAAGAAAAUAGCAGCAGCAGAUUAUUAAUUGUUGUCUAGGGCCAGGGGUGAUCAUAAAUGGGUACAAG
Molecule: long non-coding RNA, 405 nt
Filed under: Homo sapiens (human)
Lineage: Eukaryota; Metazoa; Chordata; Mammalia; Primates; Hominidae
Description: HSALNT0140846
Source: RNAcentral